This 1137-nucleotide long non-coding RNA is filed under the name Parus major (Great Tit). RNAcentral's name for it is "lncRNA (ENSPMJG00000012485.1)". The record is from RNAcentral. Lineage: Eukaryota; Metazoa; Chordata; Aves; Passeriformes; Paridae.
UGGGGAGGCACCCCCAGAACACAACGGAGCGGGGCAAUCACACCCUAUAACCAGUUCUCCCCUCUGUGCAUUGCAGAAACUGCAGAGAUCCAGAGUUCAGUGGAGAUGCCAUGGGAGCUGAACUCUGUUUGCAGGCCCACCUUAGGGUAGAUGCUGUCUGCAAGGGCCCUGCCUCCUCUUGGGUUAUCAUCUUCCUCUGCUUCCUGGCUGCAGACCAAAGAAAACCCCAGGCACAGAAAAGUCCUGUGGGCAUGUGGCCUACAGUCAGACAGCUGCUGUUCAGGAUUUUUAAUAUAUUCACCACUCUCAGGACAAAAUCUUGAAAAGGGAAAGGUUUUUCUGAGUUUCCAUUAAAAUCUCUGAUGUGUACAACAGGGACACCAAAUAUUAUUUACUUUUGCUUUUUUUGUUGUUUUGUUUUGUUUCAGUGAUGCAUUUAGUUUCAUUUAAAGGAGAGAAGUGAAAGUGAAAAGUAAAAAAAAAAAAAGUACCGUGUUAGAUAAUUUCUCCAUUUAAAUCUUGAAAAGGCUUUGACAUCAGCUGGAGAAUGGAGGGGUGGGUAGAACCCCUUCCCAGGACUACUGCUUGCUGGAAUCAAUUUCAAUUUUCUGGAAGACUGGUUUCAUACUGCCGUAUCACAUCAGAUUACAUUCUGAUUAUUAUAUCUUUUUGACAUUAAGAGAAAAGAGUAUUUUGCUAAUAUUUUUUGCAUAAUUUACAAAAAUAUAACUGAAUUCAACAGGCUUAUUGCUGAAAACCAUAAAACCACAAGAAGUAGGAAUGUGUUCAUAAGUGUAUUUCAAUGUGACAGCCAAAGCUUUGCCAGCUUUCUCAAAGCUAUUCAUGUGCUUAUUGGUCAGGUUAGAGCUAAUUGGCCUCUUCAAAAAUCAAAAAAGAGGUAACCACUGAAGAGAAAACCUCUUUUUUAGCUUUUAGCUUUAUCUCUAGGCUAGAAAAUACCAUUAAAAUUCCCAGCCAUCACUACUGGCUUAUGAAGCCAUGUUAAAGUAAAUAGGAACAUAUCUUUUUAAUUCUACAGUCUUCAAAAAAACUAAAAGAAAUCUCAAAAGGUUUUGACCUCAAUGCAAAACAAACAAACAAAAAAAGUUUUAAGCUGAAACUGAUGGACAUUUCUGC